GACGAACGCUGGCGGCGUGCUUAACACAUGCAAGUCGAACGGUGAAGCGCCUUCCCUUUUGGUGGGUGUGGAUGAGUGGCGAACGGGUGAGUAACACGUGAGUAACCUGCCCCCUUCUUCUGGAUAACCGCAUGAAAGUGUGGCUAAUACGGGAUAUUCUGGGUCUGUCGCAUGAUGGGUCUGGGAAAGAUAUUGUUUCGGUGGGGGAUGGGCUCGCGGCCUAUCAGCUUGUUGGUGGGGUGAUGGCCUACCAAGGCGGUGACGGGUAGCCGGCCUGAGAGGGUGGACGGUCACACGGGGACUGAGACACGGCCCAGACUCCUACGGGAGGCAGCAGUGGGGAAUAUUGCACAAUGGGCGCAAGCCUGAUGCAGCGACGCCGCGUGAGGGAUGGAGGCCUUCGGGUUGUGAACCUCUUUCGCCAGUGAAGCAGGCCUGCCUCGUUUGUGGGUGGGUUGACGGUAGCUGGAGAAGAAGCGCCGGCUAACUACGUG
Molecule: ribosomal RNA, 494 nt
Filed under: uncultured bacterium
Lineage: Bacteria
Description: partial 16S ribosomal RNA
Rfam family: Bacterial small subunit ribosomal RNA
Source: RNAcentral